RNAcentral lists this unclassified non-coding RNA (222 nucleotides) under uncultured Actinomycetes bacterium. Its description in RNAcentral is "uncultured actinobacterium contains 16S-23S intergenic spacer region". Lineage: Bacteria; Bacillati; Actinomycetota; Actinomycetes. The record is from RNAcentral.
UCCGAGUUGUCCCCGGCAGUCCUCUUAGAGUCCCCAGCAUUACCUGAUGGCAACUAAGAGCAGGGGUUGCGCUCGUUGCGGCACUUAAGCCAACACCUCACGGCACGAGCUGACGACAGCCAUGCAGCACCUGUGCUAGCCCCUUACGGACACGGGCUUUCACCCGCUUUAACUAGCAUGUCAAGCCUAGGUAAGGUGGGGAUGACGUGGCACGCAAUAACA